GAUGAAGAACGUAUCGAAAUGCGAUACGUAGUGUGAAUUGCAGAAUUCAGUGAAUCAUCGAAUCUUUGAACGCACAUUGCACCUCUCGGUAUUCCGGGAGGUAUGCCUGUUCGAGCGUCAUUUGUACCCUCAAGCUCUGCUUGGUGUUGGGUGUUUGUUCCGCCUCUGUGUGUGAACUCGCCUCAAAACAAUUGGCAGCCGGCGUACUUGUUUCGGAGCGCAGCACAUUUUGCGAUCCAGAUCAACGUACAGCGGCAUCCAAGAAGCCUUAUUUAACGCUCUUGACCUCGGAUCAGGUAGGGAUACCCGCUGAACUUAAGCAUAUCAAUAAGCGGAGGA
Molecule: unclassified non-coding RNA, 339 nt
Filed under: soil metagenome
Description: partial contains 5.8S ribosomal RNA, internal transcribed spacer 2, and large subunit ribosomal RNA
Rfam family: 5.8S ribosomal RNA (bases 1-120)
Source: RNAcentral